Molecule: ribosomal RNA, 402 nt
Filed under: uncultured bacterium
Lineage: Bacteria
Description: bacterial SSU rRNA
Rfam family: Bacterial small subunit ribosomal RNA
Source: RNAcentral
UGGGGAAUCUUGCACAAUGGAGGAAACUCUGAUGCAGCGACGCCGCGUGAGCGAUGAAGCCCUUCGGGGUGUAAAGCUCUUUCGACGGGAACGAUAAUGACGGUACCCGGAGAAGAAGCUGCGGCUAACUACGUGCCAGCAGCCGCGGUAAUACGUAGGCAGCAAACGUUGUUCGGAAUUACUGGGCGUAAAGAGUGUGUAGGCGGUUUUGCAAGUUUGGUGUGAAAUCUCCCGGCUUAACUGGGAGGGUGCGCCGAAAACUGCAAGGCUCGAGUACUGGAGAGGAAAGCGGAAUUCCUGGUGUAGCAGUGAAAUGCGUAGAUAUCAGGAGGAACACCUGUGGUGUAGACGGCUUUCUGGACAGUCACUGACGCUGAGACACGAAAGCGUGGGGAGCAAACA